Long non-coding RNA from Anopheles cruzii, 593 nucleotides. RefSeq lists it as uncharacterized. The record is from RefSeq and is a predicted model, not a curated record. NCBI's taxonomy places the organism in Eukaryota, Metazoa, Arthropoda, Insecta, Diptera, Culicidae. The transcript has 2 exons.
GACAGGCGCGGGUGAAAGCUCUGCAGAGCGUGUAUCAAGAUUAUGUGGAUGAGUCAACGGAGUACAUGUAACGGGCGUCGGAGUUCUCCUACCCGAGACCUAUCAGCGCACCGCCAAGCCCUAGCUCAUCCAGACACACCACACCAGCACCUUCACUGCACGGCUCGGACGAUGAAGAAGACUCCGUCAACUCGGAGGAAGAGCUAGAGGAGCUUAAAAUGAAUUCACAUAACUAAGCGUCGCCAACAAUCCUGGGUCGCGAAUCCUCGCGAAGACCGGAAAUAUCAACCUCGGUGCCGUGCCUCCAGAUCCACUCCUUGCAGCCAUAGAAGAAUGCCUUCGUCGGAGGACACUGUCUGGUCACCGCACCUGUUUUACCACAACUGACCGUUACUAAAAUUCUAUUUAAGUUUGUCACCCCGUCUCCUCUAACUUCCUGCGGCUGUCGGUGCUGCCCAGCGACCCAUCAACCCAUUUGUGUUCAACCACGCGAACGGUAGUUCAAAGCAAAAGCGGUCUAGAAAUGUGUGGCUAGCUCGUUGUUAAACUGUCAGAAAGUAUAAAUUUAAUAAAAACAAUCUAUGGAAAUGUUA